RNAcentral lists this small RNA (128 nucleotides) under Sinorhizobium meliloti 2011. RNAcentral describes it as "putative ncRNA". The record is from RNAcentral. Lineage: Bacteria; Pseudomonadati; Pseudomonadota; Alphaproteobacteria; Hyphomicrobiales; Rhizobiaceae.
AAAGCCAUUUGUGUCGGCGACGUGGGCGAGUACGUUGUUGGCGUGAAUGACGUCGGCAACGGCGCCCUCUGCACGAAGCGUUUCGGCGAGAUCUCGAGUGAAAAAGGUGCAGCGCGUUUGCACGCCUA